AGACCCGAAACCCGGUGAUCUAGCCAUGGGCAGGUUGAAGGUUGGGUAACACUAACUGGAGGACCGAACCGACUAAUGUUGAAAAAUUAGCGGAUGACCUGUGGCUGGGGGUGAAAGGCCAAUCAAACCGGGAGAUAGCUGGUUCUCCCCGAAAGCUAUUUAGGUAGCGCCUCGUGAAUUCAUCUCCGGGGGUAGAGCACUGUUUCGGCUAGGGGGCCAUCCCGGCUUACCAACCCGAUGCAAACUGCGAAUACCGGAGAAUGUUAUCACGGGAGACACACGGCGGGUGCUAACGUCCGUCGUGAAGAGGGAAACAACCCAGACCGCCAGCUAAGGUCCCAAAGUCAUGGUUAAGUGGGAAACGAUGUGGGAAGGCCCAGACAGCCAGGAUGUUGGCUUAGAAGCAGCCAUCAUUUAAAGAAAGCGUAAUAGCUCACUGGUCGAGUCGGCCUGCGCGGAAGAUGUAACGGGGCUAAACCAUGCACCGAAGCUGCGGCAGCGACACUAUGUGUUGUUGGGUAGGGGAGCGUUCUGUAAGCCUGUGAAGGUGUGUCGUGAGGCAUGCUGGAGGUAUCAGAAGUGCGAAUGCUGACAUAAGUAACGAUAAAGCGGGUGAAAAGCCCGCUCGCCGGAAGACCAAGGGUUCCUGUCCAACGUUAAUCGGGGCAGGGUGAGUCGACCCCUAAGGCGAGGCCGAAAGGCGUAGUCGAUGGGAAACGGGUUAAUAUUCCCGUACUUGGUGUUACUGCGAAGGGGGGACGGAGAAGGCUAUGUUGGCCGGGCGACGGUUGUCCCGGUUUAAGCGUGUAGGCUGGUUUUCCAGGCAAAUCCGGAAAAUCAAGGCUGAGGCGUGAUGACGAGGCACUACGGUGCUGAAGCAACAAAUGCCCUGCUUCCAGGAAAAGCCUCUAAGCAUCAGGUAACAUCAAAUCGUACCCCAAACCGACACAGGUGGUCAGGUAGAGAAUACCAAGGCGCUUGAGAGAACUCGGGUGAAGGAACUAGGCAAAAUGGUGCCGUAACUUCGGGAGAAGGCACGCUGACACGUAGGUGAAGUGAUUUACUCAUGGAGCUGAAGUCAGUCGAAGAUACCAGCUGGCUGCAACUGUUUAUUAAAAACACAGCACUGUGCAAACACGAAAGUGGACGUAUACGGUGUGACGCCUGCCCGGUGCCGGAAGGUUAAUUGAUGGGGUCAGCGCAAGCGAAGCUCCUGAUCGAAGCCCCGGUAAACGGCGGCCGUAACUAUAACGGUCCUAAGGUAGCGAAAUUCCUUGUCGGGUAAGUUCCGACCUGCACGAAUGGCGUAAUGAUGGCCAGGCUGUCUCCACCCGAGACUCAGUGAAAUUGAACUCGCUGUGAAGAUGCAGUGUACCCGCGGCAAGACGGAAAGACCCCGUGAACCUUUACUAUAGCUUGACACUGAACAUUGAGCCUUGAU
Molecule: ribosomal RNA, 1441 nt
Filed under: Salmonella enterica subsp. enterica serovar Schwarzengrund
Lineage: Bacteria; Pseudomonadati; Pseudomonadota; Gammaproteobacteria; Enterobacterales; Enterobacteriaceae
Description: partial 23S ribosomal RNA
Rfam family: Bacterial large subunit ribosomal RNA
Source: RNAcentral